RNAcentral lists this transfer RNA (71 nucleotides) under Nerita fulgurans. Its description in RNAcentral is "tRNA-Leu". Lineage: Eukaryota; Metazoa; Mollusca; Gastropoda; Cycloneritida; Neritidae. The record is from RNAcentral.
AUUAAGAUGGCAGAAAAAGUGCAUUAGGUUUAAGCCCUAAAUAUGAAGAAUUUAAUUCUCUUCUCUUAAUA